Gasterosteus aculeatus aculeatus (three-spined stickleback) is the source of this 1215-nucleotide non-coding RNA. The record is from RefSeq and is a predicted model, not a curated record. Lineage: Eukaryota; Metazoa; Chordata; Actinopteri; Perciformes; Gasterosteidae.
ACCAACCGGAGCGUGUCUCAGCAGAGGCGGACCACGCCCAGCAGAGUGGAGGUGUAACGGGAAACCUCCUCUGAACAUUUAAGGAGCGGCCUUAAAGGGAGCCGUUGCCUCCGGGUUGCAGCAGACUGUUUGUUCUCCAGUCAGAGGACGCUGCAGCUGCACCGUGAGUCACUGCACGUGAUGGGAACUCCCCGGUACGGCUCCAGCUCACACCUUGUGACCCUCGACCCCUGACCAGAGCUUCCGAUCAGCUGAGGUCGUCCCCGUCGUCGCUCCUUCACACGUCGGCACGCACGCCUUUUUCUCUGAGCUGCGCCUCAGGUUUUAGUCAAAACGGGGGGAUAAAUACUUCAUUCAAAAGUUACCUCGAUGAAAGGCUUUUUACUUAAAAUUGCUGCAGGGAAAGAUCAUUUCAAGUGUUUUAUACACUGAUGGGUAGAUUAUAUUUCAUAUUUUAUUAUUAUAUAUCAAGUAAAAAGUAAUUUCACUUCCAUAAUCAAUACAGGAUAGUAAAAGGUAAGUAUUCUUGUCUGAGAUGUUGUGCAGUAGAAGUGGAACGUAGUGGCAGGCUGCUUAAGUAACUUAAGUAAAUACACUUUAUGUAAAUGAGAACAAAUAAAUGGUGAAUUUGUGUGUGUGUGUGUGUGUUGACCCAGUUGUUGCGUGCCGCUGACACACAAAGUUAUCUUUAGUCAGCUAGCAGGGAGGCUGCGGAUGAUGGCAGCUGCCCGGUUGCCGAGCAACAGGUUUGGAUUGUUUACAGUGUGUUUCAGUGGAAGUUAACAGACGCCUGCGAGACCAGAGGGUAGGUGACAUAAAUAAAUGUUGAUGUUGUACAGCGUGCAGAUUUGUACAUGUGCUGUCUAUUCGUUAAGUUAUAUCAAUCUACUGCUCCACUGUGCUUAAGUACACAUUUGGUAGUAUGACACACUUGAGCGUCAGUCACUUGUUAAAGUAUCUUUGGUGUGGUAACCAUGCUCGUACUGCAGUAAAGGAUCUGAAUACUUGCUCCACAACUGCAGCAAGAAAACAACAAAGACAGAAAACAUCCGGCUGGGAAGACAGAUAAUCCCGAAGCAUCCGUUCACUAAUGUGUUUUAUGACAGUCAGCUGUUUGUCCUCCCACAUUCUGUUUAUCACAUCAACGUGCGCGUUUGAAUCUGAAUCUUUCCAUCCGAAUAGUGACAAUAAAUUGACAUGCUGCACUUGCUCAAA